AAAUUGAAGAGUUUGAUCAUGGCUCAGAUUGAACGCUGGCGGCAGGCCUAACACAUGCAAGUCGAACGGUAACAGGAAACAGCUUGCUGUUUCGCUGACGAGUGGCGGACGGGUGAGUAAUGUCUGGGAAACUGCCUGAUGGAGGGGGGUAACUACUGGAAACGGUAGCUAAUACCGCAUAACGUCGCAAGACCAAAGAGGGGGACCUUCGGGCCUCUUGCCAUCGGAUGUGCCCAGAUGGGAUUAGCUAGUAGGUGGGGUAACGGCUCACC
RNAcentral lists this ribosomal RNA (272 nucleotides) under Escherichia coli. Its description in RNAcentral is "partial 16S ribosomal RNA". It matches the Rfam family "Bacterial small subunit ribosomal RNA", at positions 1 to 269 of the family's 1533-position model. The record is from RNAcentral. Lineage: Bacteria; Pseudomonadati; Pseudomonadota; Gammaproteobacteria; Enterobacterales; Enterobacteriaceae.